RNAcentral lists this long non-coding RNA (776 nucleotides) under Pan troglodytes (chimpanzee). RNAcentral describes it as "long non-coding RNA NONPTRT011330". Lineage: Eukaryota; Metazoa; Chordata; Mammalia; Primates; Hominidae. The record is from RNAcentral.
AUAUCAGGUGUGGCAAAUUCUUUGGUGAUCUAUUGAGAAAACACUUUUACUAGUAUAUAUGCCCUUGUGUAGUCCCUCCAUACAUUAUUUCUGGUUUUGGCCAUGUGACUGGCUUUAGCCAAUGGAACAUUAGCAAUUGUGAUGCAUGCCUGUACAUGCAGGCUAUAUUUUCAGAACUCUACCUCUUGGAACAUUCCCUCUCAGAUUCCAACCACAAUACUGAAAAAACCAAAGCCCAGUCUAGCCAUUUAAAGAGAACACAUGGAAGUAAACCAAGAACCCAGCCAAUAUCCCCAGAAAUUGACAAGAUGAUCCUAAAAUUUAUCUAGAAACACAUGGGACACAGAACAGCCAAGACAAUUUUGAAAAAUAAGAACGAAGGACUCAUACUUCUUGAUUUCAAAACUGACUACAAAGCUACAGUAAUUAACACUGUGUGAGACUGGCAUAAGGAUAUGCAUAUAGAUUGAUAAAAUAAAACUGAGAAGCCCUUGAGAAAUAAACCUUAUAUAUGUGGUCAACUGAUUUUUGACAAUAAUGACAAGAAAAUUCAAUAGGAAAAGAAGUUAUUUCAACAAAUGGUACUGGGACAACUGGAUACACACAUGCAAAAGGAUGAAGUUGGAACCUUACCUCAUACCAUAUGCAAAAAUUAAUGCUAAAUGAGUCAUAGACCUAUAUAUAAGAAUUAGAACUAUAAAACUUAUGGAAGAAAAUAUAGGCGUAAGUCUUUGUGAUUUUGGAUUACACAAUGGUUUCCUAGAAUGACUCUUAAG